This 380-nucleotide ribosomal RNA is filed under the name uncultured bacterium. RNAcentral describes it as "bacterial SSU rRNA". It matches the Rfam family "Bacterial small subunit ribosomal RNA", at positions 521 to 896 of the family's 1533-position model. The record is from RNAcentral.
UAAGACAGAGGAGCCAAGCGUUGUCCGGACUGACUGGGCGUAAAGGGCACGCAGGCGGUGCGGUAAGUGGGGUGUGAAAGCAGUCGGCUCAACCGGCUGAGGCCAUGCCAGACUGCCGCACUCGAGCACUGCAGAGGGUGGUGGAAUUGCCGGUGUAGUGGUGAAAUGCGUAGAGAUCGGCAGGAACACCAAGGGGGAAGCCAGCCACCUGGGCAGUUGCUGACGCUGAGGUGCGAAAGCGUGGGGAGCGAACUGGAUUAGAUACCCAGGUAGUCCACGCCGUAAACGAUGGACGCUCGGCAUGUGCGCGCUAUCAACGCGCGUGGGUGCCUUAGCUAACGCGGUAAGCGUCCCGCCUGGGAACUACGAGCGCAAGCUUA